GAUGAACGCUGGCGGCGUGCUUAACACAUGCAAGUCGAACGAAGAUGCCGGAGUGCUUGCACUUUGGCAGACUGAGUGGCGGACGGGUGAGUAACGCGUGGGUAACCUGCCUUAUACAGGGGGAUAACAGUUGGAAACGACUGCUAAUACCGCAUAAGCGCACGGUAUCGCAUGAUACAGUGUGAAAAACUCCGGUGGUAUAAGAUGGACCCGCGUCUGAUUAGCUAGUUGGUGAGGUAACGGCCCACCAAGGCGACGAUCAGUAGCCGGCCUGAGAGGGUGAACGGCCACAUUGGGACUGAGACACGGCCCAGACUCCUACGGGAGGCAGCAGUGGGGAAUAUUGCACAAUGGGGGAAACCCUGAUGCAGCGACGCCGCGUGAGUGAUGAAGUAUUUCGGGUAUGUAAAACUCGUAUCAGCAGGGAAGAUAAUGACGGUACCUGACUAAGAAGCACCGGCUAAAUA
RNAcentral lists this ribosomal RNA (467 nucleotides) under uncultured bacterium. RNAcentral's name for it is "bacterial SSU rRNA". It matches the Rfam family "Bacterial small subunit ribosomal RNA", at positions 28 to 503 of the family's 1533-position model. The record is from RNAcentral.